Non-coding RNA from Theobroma cacao (cacao), 712 nucleotides. The record is from RefSeq and is a predicted model, not a curated record. Lineage: Eukaryota; Viridiplantae; Streptophyta; Magnoliopsida; Malvales; Malvaceae.
AGAAAUCCUGAGAGAUUUUCAAGAAGCUAGAAGUUAAGACAUCUUUGGUCUUUGUAUGUGAAGGAAAAACUUGAAUCUUAUUCCUUUCGAUCUAGAGAUAGAAAGAACUUUUAAAAGAUUUUGAAGGGAAAAUUUGCAAGUUCAAAAUCUAUACCAAAUAAUGGAUGAAAAUAAUAAUAAUCAUGGUAACAAGUAGAACUUUGAUUUUAGUUGUGAUUUCUUGAGAAAAUGAGUUGGUAAUUGUGUGAGAAUGUUUGUGGCAGCAAAGGUCCUCAAAGAUUUGAAAGAAAUAGAUGCAUGCAUGUGGGUCAAUCUUGGAAUGCAUGGUGAUUUUGGAGCUAGAUAAGCAAUAGGUACGUAUUUUAGACUUGAAAUCACAUAUAGAUAAGUAAAAUGAGAUGUGCUCUAAUUGUUUAUGCUUGUGGCAACAAUGGUGACCGAGAAUGUGAGGAAUGGUGGAUUAUAUAUGGAGCUCAAGCUAAAACCGAAAGAUAGUGAUUGACCUAGCAUGCAAUCAUCGGCACUUAUGGUCCACUGUGAAUAGGUUAAGGUAUCUCAUAACAUUUUCUUCUGAGUCACUCCGCUGCUAGAGGUCGAGUCCUACAUAGCAUAAUUUGAUUAUAAAUAGUGUUAAUGUAAAUGUAUGGUUGGAUAUUAAAGACCUUGAUGUACUUUUACAAUUAUGUUGAAUAAAAGUUGAGUUGAUUUAUUA